This 141-nucleotide small nuclear RNA is filed under the name Carlito syrichta (Philippine tarsier). Its description in RNAcentral is "U4 spliceosomal RNA (ENSTSYG00000031468.1)". It matches the Rfam family "U4 spliceosomal RNA". From Rfam's summary of the family: U4 small nuclear RNA (U4 snRNA) is a component of the major U2-dependent spliceosome. The structure of U4 snRNA from yeast and human has been reported. U4 snRNA presents a k-turn RNA motif in the 5p-SL related to recognition of Snu13 protein. Lineage: Eukaryota; Metazoa; Chordata; Mammalia; Primates; Tarsiidae. The record is from Rfam by way of RNAcentral.
AGCUUUGCACAGGGGCAGUAUUGUAGUCAGUGAGGUUUAUCCGAGGCGUGAUCAAUGCUAAUUGAAGACUUUUCCCAGUACCCCACCAUGACAGCUUGAAAUGUAGUUGACAUUGGCAAUUUUUGACAGUCUCUACAAAGA